Long non-coding RNA from Equus caballus (horse), 2043 nucleotides. The record is from Ensembl. Lineage: Eukaryota; Metazoa; Chordata; Mammalia; Perissodactyla; Equidae.
GACUCCUUGGUAUUUUUGGAUCUCUAAUUCUCUUUGUAAAUAUUUUCUGGUCUUCCUAUCUUUAAGAGAAACAGGCAACCACAAACCAAUAAACAGAUUUUCUUAACAGACACAUCUCAGAACUUGGCCAAUCAGGGCCUAGUUAAUUAACCAUAGCCCCACGGGAGAAGACUGGCCACAGUUGCCAGCCAGAGUCUAUAUUUUCUCUCUCUUUGUUGAAAUUCUCAUUUUGUUCACUCAUUAUUCUCCUGACCUUGGUGAGCAUCUUUAUGACUAUUAUUUUGAACUCUUUAUCAGGUUAAUGACUUAUUUCUGUUUCAUUAAGGUCUGUUUCUGAAGUUUUAUCUUCUUCUUAUGUUUGAAACAUAUUCCUUUGUAUCUCCAUUUUCCCUGAGUCUUUGUGUUGGUUUCUGUGCAUUAGAUAAAAUAGCCCCCUCUCCUCAUCUUGAAGGAGUGGUCCCUUGUAGGAGAGAACCUUAUCAUUCAGCCCAGCUCCAGCUCUCAAGCCUUUGUGAUUGUCUCUCAAAUCUUUGUGAUUGCCCAAGCUGCCUUCUUAGUUCUUAGUGGCUCCCAGUAGUUGAGAGUCUGCCAAGACUUAUCAGUGUCCCAAGGGGGAGGACCUCACUCAGCACCUGGAUGCAGGCUGUUUGGAAGCCAGACGCUCAGGCAACAGUGUCUAAAGUAUACAAAAGAACGUCCUUCUAAAGACUGGGGAAUGGGUGUUUCUGCUCCCUCUGCGUUGACCCCUGGGGGAAUAGCCAGUUAAGAACUGUUUCUUUGUUUGUUACAGUCUUGUGGGACUGGUGAAUGUAAGCUUUGCUGUCUACCAGAGCCAGGCUAUCAAAGGGUGUGUUCCCUGGGCAGCAACCACAGAACCAGGGUGCCAGACAUGUACACAAGCUCCUUCUAGGGAGAUACCAGUGACCUGCAGGAGGGCAGAGGGAGAGCACCAAGACGGUGCCUCCCAGCCUCUCUGGUCUCUGGACAGGAUUGCACUUGGCCCCUAGACUUGUGUUAAGUUAGGAGCCUGACCCUUGGGCUGCAUCAUUUAGGAUAAGUGAAUAGCCCUGUUUCAUGGAAAGAUUGGGGAAAUGGGUAUUUCAGGCUGCUGCCUCUGUGCUCAGCCUUGGGGUGACAGCCACUGCGUGACAUCAGAGCCUGCGUGUUUGCUAUAGCCGUGAGGGAUCAAGCCCUGCUGGCAUUUAGAGCUGGGUGCUUUGGGGGUCCCUCCCUCUGGUGGAAGUGUUAAAAGCUGGGGUGCUGGAUGUUGAGUAGGUCUGAAGCUUUCACCCCUCAGGGAGAAGCUGGGAGUUGUGAGUUUCCUCUUGAUUGUGUGUCACUGCACCCGGGGUAGGGUUUGCGCAGAGACUGUGUCUCGGCCUCUCCUCAUUUUGUUGUGGGUCUUUUUCCUGUUCACCUGAUGUCCAGGAGUCGCUCAGGCAGUUUCUGGACUUCUUUCAGAGAAAGAAUGUUCCAUACGUAGCCGUAGAUUCUGCGUGUCCAUGGAAGGAAGGGAGUUGAGGAGCCUCCUAUGUCGCCAUCUUGAACUGGAGCAUCUAUAUUUUUAAAAAAUCUCCCCAGAUAAUUCUCACUUGCUGCCAGGGUUGAGGAUCAUUGUUCCAGAUUCUCGUCUAAAGCGCCGGGGUAGAAAGUUUCCUGUGGUGUCCACAACCUGAGGCCUGUUUCCCGCGAUUCUUUUCAACGGUCGGAGAAAGGAGGGUUCGCCCUUGCAUUCGGGCAGCCGCGUUUCUGUGGGUGAAACGAUUUACAGUAGGCGCGCAGAUUUGGAAGCGGCAUAGACGGGCAGGGGAGGCGGGCAGGAGACAAACAGCCGGGAGGGUUCCCUCAGCCCAGGAAAGAUUAAGGACCACCCUGAGAAGCUGAGAGUUUCAGCUGGCCCAGUGGGAUGACAGACGUGCAGCACGACUCGAGUGAAAAUCACCAUUGAUGGUUGAGAGGCACGGCGACUGAGCGGCGGGGGCGUUUGGUUAUCAGUGAGCCUGCAAGUGUCUACUCCCAGCACCCAGGGCUCUGGCUGCCAAA